Molecule: ribosomal RNA, 506 nt
Filed under: uncultured bacterium
Lineage: Bacteria
Description: partial 16S ribosomal RNA
Rfam family: Bacterial small subunit ribosomal RNA
Source: RNAcentral
AGUGAACGCUGGCGGUAGGCCUAACACAUGCAAGUCGAACGGCAGCACAGGAGAGCUUGCUCUCUGGGUGGCGAGUGGCGGACGGGUGAGGAAUACAUCGGAAUCUACUCUGUCGUGGGGGAUAACGUAGGGAAACUUACGCUAAUACCGCAUACGACCUACGGGUGAAAGCAGGGGAUCUUCGGACCUUGCGCAAUUGAAUGAGCCGAUGUCGGAUUAGUUAGUUGGCGGGGUAAAGGCCCACCAAGGCGACGAUCCGUAGCUGGUCUGAGAGGAUGAUCAGCCACACUGGAACUGAGACACGGUCCAGACUCCUACGGGAGGCAGCAGUGGGGAAUAUUGGACGAUGGGCGCAAGCCUGAUCCAGCCAUACCGCGUGGGUGAAGAAGGCCUUCGGGUUGUAAAGCCCUUUUGUUGGGAAAGAAAUCCAGCUGGCUAAUACCCGGUUGGGAUGACGGUACCCAAAGAAUAAGCACCGGCUAACUUCGUGCCAGCCGCCGCGGUAA